Molecule: ribosomal RNA, 253 nt
Filed under: uncultured bacterium
Lineage: Bacteria
Description: partial 16S ribosomal RNA
Rfam family: Bacterial small subunit ribosomal RNA
Source: RNAcentral
UACAGAGGUCCCGAGCGUUGUUCGGAUUCACUGGGCGUAAAGGGUGCGUAGGUGGCAUGCUAAGUUUGAUGUGAAAGCUCAGGGCUUAACCCUGAAAUGGCAUUGAAUACUAGCGUGCUGGAGGUUUGGAGGGGGGACUGGAAUUCUCGGUGUAGCAGUGAAAUGCGUAGAUAUCGAGAGGAACACCAGUGGCGAAGGCGAGUCCCUGGACAACACCUGACACUGAGGCACGAAAGCCGGGGGAGCAAACAGG